AUGGUCCUUGUACGAACGCACGUGGCUCACAGGACGACUCGGGAAUUUGUCUUCGUGAGAAGGGAGGUGGCGCACUUGGACUUUUUGCCCGCAGAUGGAUCCGUUCCGUGGCUUUCAGAAAUGUUUCGAUCACUGAACCAAGCACGAAUUGCGGCUGGACUCCCUCCACAAACGGAAAAUCCUCGUUUCUCGCCGACUCCGUCCCCGGUAGGAAGCCCCCAACGGGACCAAAUACAUCCAAAGGAUGAAGAGGCUCCGGACACUGAUGACGAGAAUGAAACCGAUUCAACUUGCACGAUUUGCGAGGAAAGGAAGAUCAAGUUGGCGCUGAUACCAUGCAAUCAUGAAGUUUGCUAUACUUGCACCCAAACCAUGAGCGGAUGGAGCAUUGAUGUCCAGCCUAUACAACCUUUCAAGUGCCCCUUCUGUCGUCGAAAAGUGACCGGCUACACUCCGAAGUUCUACUCCGAUGGACCCGCCACUAAACCUGCUGAUGCUGUCGUUCCUCAGACGUAAGGACCUAUCUCAACUUUCACGUGAUCCCUGUUCUCCGUAUAGCUCU
RNAcentral lists this long non-coding RNA (562 nucleotides) under Bemisia tabaci. RNAcentral's name for it is "lncRNA ENSSSA3NGG001415". Lineage: Eukaryota; Metazoa; Arthropoda; Insecta; Hemiptera; Aleyrodidae. The record is from RNAcentral.